Molecule: ribosomal RNA, 255 nt
Filed under: uncultured Finegoldia sp.
Lineage: Bacteria; Bacillati; Bacillota; Tissierellia; Tissierellales; Peptoniphilaceae
Description: partial 16S ribosomal RNA
Rfam family: Bacterial small subunit ribosomal RNA
Source: RNAcentral
CGGGUAGAGUAACGCGUGAGCAACCUGCCUAUGACAGUGGGAUAGCCUCGGGAAACCGGGAUUAAUACCGCAUAAAAUACGUAGAAACACAUGUUUCAACGGUCAAAGAUUUAUCGGUCAUAGAUGGGCUCGCGUCUGAUUAGCUAGUUGGUGAGAUAACAGCCCACCAAGGCGACGAUCAGUAGCCGGUCUGAGAGGAUGAACGGCCACAUUGGAACUGAGACACGGUCCAAACUCCUACGGGAGGCAGCAGAU